Molecule: ribosomal RNA, 580 nt
Filed under: uncultured bacterium
Lineage: Bacteria
Description: bacterial SSU rRNA
Rfam family: Bacterial small subunit ribosomal RNA
Source: RNAcentral
CCUACGGGAGGCAGCAGUAAGGAAUAUUGGUCAAUGGGCGCAAGCCUGAACCAGCCAUGCCGCGUGCAGGAAGACGGCCCUAUGGGUUGUAAACUGCUUUUGAACAAGAGAAAACCUCGGUACGUGUACCGAGCUGAUAGUAUUGUUAGAAUAAGCAUCGGCUAACUUCGUGCCAGCAGCCGCGGUAAGACGAAGGAUGCAAGCGUUAUCCGGAUUCAUUGGGUUUAAAGGGUGCGUAGGCGGCCUGAUAAGUCAGUGGUGAAAUCUCUCAGCUUAACUGAGAAACUGCCAUUGAUACUGUCGGGCUUGAGUACAGAUGAUGUGGGCGGAAUAUGACAUGUAGUGGCGAAAUACUUAGAUAUGUCAUAGAACACCGAUUGCGAAGGCAGCUCACAAAACUGUAACUGACGCUGAGGCACGAAAGUGCGGGGAUCAAACAGGAUUAGAUACCCUGGUAGUCCGCACCGUAAACGAUGAUUACUCGUUGUUGGCAAUAUGACCGUCAGCGACCAAGCGAAAGCGANAAGUAAUCCACCUGGGGAGUACGCCGGCAACCGGUGAAACGUUAAUGAAUUGACGG